Lontra canadensis (Northern American river otter) is the source of this 85-nucleotide long non-coding RNA. RefSeq lists it as uncharacterized. The record is from RefSeq and is a predicted model, not a curated record. The transcript is spliced from 3 exons. NCBI's taxonomy places the organism in Eukaryota, Metazoa, Chordata, Mammalia, Carnivora, Mustelidae.
GGAGGAUCUAUUCACAGACUGAGGACCUGAGUUCUCCAUGAAGAUGUGGGAGGCUCCAAAGUCCCGAGUCCACCCUGCACCACUG